This 253-nucleotide ribosomal RNA is filed under the name uncultured bacterium. Its description in RNAcentral is "partial 16S ribosomal RNA". It matches the Rfam family "Bacterial small subunit ribosomal RNA", at positions 524 to 776 of the family's 1533-position model. The record is from RNAcentral.
UACGUAGGGCGCAAGCGUUGUCCGGAUUUAUUGGGCGUAAAGAGCUCGUAGGCGGUUUGUCACGUCUGCUGUGAAAACCCGAGGCUCAACCUCGGGCUUGCAGUGGGUACGGGCAGACUAGAGUGCAGUAGGGGAGACUGGAAUUCCUGGUGUAGCGGUGAAAUGCGCAGAUAUCAGGAGGAACACCGAUGGCGAAGGCAGGUCUCUGGGCUGUAACUGACGCUGAGGAGCGAAAGCAUGGGGAGCGAACAGG